RNAcentral lists this ribosomal RNA (492 nucleotides) under uncultured bacterium. RNAcentral's name for it is "partial 16S ribosomal RNA". It matches the Rfam family "Bacterial small subunit ribosomal RNA", at positions 30 to 507 of the family's 1533-position model. The record is from RNAcentral.
AUUGAACGCUGGCGGCAUGCUUUACACAUGCAAGUCGAACGGUAACAGGCCUUCGGGUGCUGACGAGUGGCGAACGGGUGAGUAAUGCAUCGGAACGUACCCAGAGGUGGGGGAUAACGCAGCGAAAGCUGUGCUAAUACCGCAUGUGAUCUGAGGAUGAAAGUGGGGGACCGAGCAGCAAUGUUUGGCCUCGCGCCUUUGGAGCGGCCGAUGUCGGAUUAGCUAGUUGGUGGGGUAAAGGCCUACCAAGGCGACGAUCCGUAGCUGGUCUGAGAGGACGACCAGCCACACUGGGACUGAGACACGGCCCAGACUCCUACGGGAGGCAGCAGUGGGGAAUUUUGGACAAUGGGCGCAAGCCUGAUCCAGCAAUGCCGCGUGCGGGAAGAAGGCCUUCGGGUUGUAAACCGCUUUUGGCAGGAACGAAACGGUGUCCGCUAAUACCGGGCGCUAAUGACGGUACCUGCAGAAUAAGCACCGGCUAACUACGUG